GAUGAACGCUGGCGGCGUGCCUAAUACAUGCAAGUCGAGCGAACAGACGAGGAGCUUGCUCCUCUGACGUUAGCGGCGGACGGGUGAGUAACACGUGGAUAACCUACCUAUAAGACUGGGAUAACUUCGGGAAACCGGAGCUAAUACCGGAUAAUAUAUUGAACCGCAUGGUUCAAUAGUGAAAGACGGUUUUGCUGUCACUUAUAGAUGGAUCCUCGCCGCAUUAGCUAGUUGGUAAGGUAACGGCUUACCAAGGCGACGAUGCGUAGCCGACCUGAGAGGGUGAUCGGCCACACUGGAACUGAGACACGGUCCAGACUCCUACGGGAGGCAGCAGUAGGGAAUCUUCCGCAAUGGGCGAAAGCCUGACGGAGCAACGCCGCGUGAGUGAUGAAGGUCUUCGGAUCGUAAAACUCUGUUAUUAGGGAAGAACAAAUGUAUAAGUAACUAUGCACGUCUUGACGGUACCUAAUCAGAAAGCCACGGCUAACUACGUG
This 497-nucleotide ribosomal RNA is filed under the name uncultured bacterium. Its description in RNAcentral is "partial 16S ribosomal RNA". It matches the Rfam family "Bacterial small subunit ribosomal RNA", at positions 28 to 507 of the family's 1533-position model. The record is from RNAcentral.